RNAcentral lists this transfer RNA (77 nucleotides) under Corynebacterium pseudotuberculosis. Its description in RNAcentral is "tRNA-Asp". Lineage: Bacteria; Bacillati; Actinomycetota; Actinomycetes; Mycobacteriales; Corynebacteriaceae. The record is from RNAcentral.
GCUUAUGAAGCGGGAUUGCACUACCUUGGUUAAUCGACACCGAGAAGGUGAAUCACGGAACUAGAAUUUUCUGAGGU